This 313-nucleotide ribosomal RNA is filed under the name uncultured Glomus. Its description in RNAcentral is "SSU rRNA". It matches the Rfam family "Eukaryotic small subunit ribosomal RNA", at positions 569 to 886 of the family's 1831-position model. Lineage: Eukaryota; Fungi; Glomeromycota; Glomeromycetes; Glomerales; Glomeraceae. The record is from RNAcentral.
AGCAGCCGCGGUAAUUCCAGCUCCAAUAGCGUAUAUUAAAGUUGUUGCAGUUAAAAAGCUUGUAGUUGAAUUUCGGGAUCAACAUGUCGGUCAUGCCUUUGGUAUGUACUGACAUCAUUGAUUUCUCCCUUCUGGCGAACCAUGAUGUCAUUAAUUUGGUGUCAUGGGGAAUCAGGACUGUUACUUUGAAAAAAUUAGAGUGUUUAAAGCAGGCAUACGCUUGAAUACAUUAGCAUGGAAUAAUGAAAUAGGACGUUUGAUCCUAUUUUGUUGGUUUCUAGGAUUGACGUAAUGAUUAAUAGGGAUAGUUGGG